GCCGGGCAUGCCUCCUCUCUUCUGCCCCUCGACUCCGCGAGCCGCCACCGCGUCGUCGCCGCCACCGAGCUCUCUCACGCCGCCAGCGGACGGCGGCCCCGAGCCGCCGCCGUCGCGCGUAUCCCCCUCGACCUACCCAGCGCCAGCGUGGCGCUUUGCCUCUCCCCCUGGCGCCUCCUCCUCUGCGACCCCUGGCCACCGCCGUCGCGCCUCUCUCCCUCGACCAACCUAGCGUCGGGGGUGGAGGAGCGGCAAGGGGCGGCGCUGGGACGAAGUGGAGGAGCAGGGAGGGGCGGCUUGUGGGGUGGCGCCGGAUGAGGGGGGGUGCUGAGGGAAGGCCGACCGGUGCCAGCCACGCUUUCUCAACCAUGCAUGGCCUCUCUCGUCGUCAUCCGCCGUCGCGCCUCUACCCGCUGCAGGAUGUAGAGGUACUCUACCUAGACCUUGGCUGCCUGCCCUAUCUUCCCAUCUCUCGAAACAAAUUGGUUUAAACGGAUAUUUCUACGUCAUCCGAUAGCAUAGGAGCUCCGAUGAGUCAGCGUCGUAUUUACCCUGCUUCUUGCUGCUUCCACCACCAGAGAUCCUCCAGCCUCGAGCUCGUUCGCCUCCUGUCUCCUAUCACGGUAGUGUUUGAGACCAAUGGUGGAUCAGGUGGAAAUAACCGUGCCAUGCAAGCAAUGCCCCAAACCGAAAUUUUCAUAUAGAAUCGAGGGAUUUUUGGGCUCUGUAACUUAUCGUAUGCUAGCUUUUGUUUCGAACAUUUGUCUCCUGCUGGCCAUUUAAUAUGCUUUCCUGGUCUGUUGGUGCUUUCUUUUUUAUGCACUUUUGUCUAUCUUGACCGUGCCAUGGAACAUUGAUGGAUAAGGAAUUUCAAAUUUAUGCUUCUUCUCUUAUGUUAUAUAUAUACUACUUCUAAAGUAUAUAUGUUUAUGUGUAUAAGCUUGAGCUUUGAUUUAUUUCCCUCACCAUGACUUGUUGUUUGUUCCAUAGUUUGCUCUGCAAUUACCAAGUUCAUCCUUAAUUUGACCUCCACAAAACUAUAUAUGGGAUUGUGGGUGGCCUCUAAUAUCUACAAAUGAUCUGGAUUGAUACUUUUAUGUAGGUAUACGGGUAGAUGGCUUAUCUCACUUUUCAAUGUUUGACAAUGUACCCCGUCGAUCUGGCAGGUUGAGAGAGCUUAAGGGCUGAAACAGCUAGAGUCUGUAGGAAGGAUCUUAUAUCAAUAAAGCUUGCCGACUCUUGAAAUGUGGCGACGGCAGUGGAUCUGCUCUCCUACAGUGUGAAGAAGAUCGCCAUCAACCUGCACCAGGAGCACCGGAGCAGCGGGAGGAUGCCACCUGCGCCUGGGAACGUUGGGGUCGCUGUCAACUUUGGUUUCUUCUCUGACCAGCGCGACGACCACCACCACCAUGAACGAGCAGUAGAAAGUCUUCAAGAUCCGUUGAAGAUCGAGAAAUUGUAGUGAUGAAGGCACCGUGAGCAGUACCCUCACCGUCGAGGGUGUCCUGGUUGCCUCCUUGAUUGGUUUUCACCGCCGUUUACAUACUGUGAUUGUUACUAGAAGUUUAAUGUGAACAUCCGGGAAUUCCACCACCUGGACGUUGUUUCCUUGUAUACUAUCUCACCCAAUAGAAGCACCACAUUUCAGUUCA
This is a long non-coding RNA of Lolium perenne, 1652 nucleotides long. RefSeq lists it as uncharacterized. The record is from RefSeq and is a predicted model, not a curated record. NCBI's taxonomy places the organism in Eukaryota, Viridiplantae, Streptophyta, Magnoliopsida, Poales, Poaceae.